RNAcentral lists this ribosomal RNA (1372 nucleotides) under uncultured bacterium. RNAcentral's name for it is "bacterial SSU rRNA". It matches the Rfam family "Bacterial small subunit ribosomal RNA", at positions 28 to 1381 of the family's 1533-position model. The record is from RNAcentral.
GAUGAACGCUGGCGGCGUGCCUAAUACAUGCAAGUCGAGCGAACGGACGAGAAGCUUGCUUCUCUGAUGUUAGCGGCGGACGGGUGAGUAACACGUGGAUAACCUACCUAUAAGACUGGGAUAACUUCGGGAAACCGGAGCUAAUACCGGAUAAUAUUUUGAACCGCAUGGUUCAAAAGUGAAAGACGGUCUUGCUGUCACUUAUAGAUGGAUCCGCGCUGCAUUAGCUAGUUGGUAAGGUAACGGCUUACCAAGGCAACGAUGCAUAGCCGACCUGAGAGGGUGAUCGGCCACACUGGAACUGAGACACGGUCCAGACUCCUACGGGAGGCAGCAGUAGGGAAUCUUCCGCAAUGGGCGAAAGCCUGACGGAGCAACGCCGCGUGAGUGAUGAAGGUCUUCGGAUCGUAAAACUCUGUUAUUAGGGAAGAACAUAUGUGUAAGUAACUGUGCACAUCUUGACGGUACCUAAUCAGAAAGCCACGGCUAACUACGUGCCAGCAGCCGCGGUAAUACGUAGGUGGCAAGCGUUAUCCGGAAUUAUUGGGCGUAAAGCGCGCGUAGGCGGUUUUUUAAGUCUGAUGUGAAAGCCCACGGCUCAACCGUGGAGGGUCAUUGGAAACUGGAAAACUUGAGUGCAGAAGAGGAAAGUGGAAUUCCAUGUGUAGCGGUGAAAUGCGCAGAGAUAUGGAGGAACACCAGUGGCGAAGGCGACUUUCUGGUCUGUAACUGACGCUGAUGUGCGAAAGCGUGGGGAUCAAACAGGAUUAGAUACCCUGGUAGUCCACGCCGUAAACGAUGAGUGCUAAGUGUUAGGGGGUUUCCGCCCCUUAGUGCUGCAGCUAACGCAUUAAGCACUCCGCCUGGGGGGUACGACCGCAAGGUUGAAACUCAAAGGAAUUGACGGGGACCCGCACAAGCGGUGGAGCAUGUGGUUUAAUUCGAAGCAACGCGAAGAACCUUACCAAAUCUUGACAUCCUUUGACAACUCUAGAGAUAGAGCCUUCCCCUUCGGGGGACAAGGUGACAGGUGGUGCAUGGUUGUCGUCAGCUCGUGUCGUGAGAUGUUGGGUUAAGUCCCGCAACGAGCGCAACCCUUAAGCUUAGUUGCCAUCAUUAAGUUGGGCACUCUAAGUUGACUGCCGGUGACAAACCGGAGGAAGGUGGGGAUGACGUCAAAUCAUCAUGCCCCUUAUGAUUUGGGCUACACACGUGCUACAAUGGACAAUACAAAGGGCAGCGAAACCGCGAGGUCAAGCAAAUCCCAUAAAGUUGUUCUCAGUUCGGAUUGUAGUCUGCAACUCGACUACAUGAAGCUGGAAUCGCUAGUAAUCGUAGAUCAGCACGCUACGGUGAGUACGUUCCCGGGUCU